AACGCUGGCGGCGUGCUUAACACAUGCAAGUCGAACGAACCUUCGGGUUAGUGGCGGACGGGUGAGUAACGCGUGAGAAUCUGCCCUCAGGAGGGGGACAACAGCUGGAAACGGCUGCUAAUACCCCAUAUGCCGCGAGGUGAAAUGAAUUUCGCCUGAGGAUGAGCUCGCGUCUGAUUAGCUAGUUGGUGAGGUAAUGGCUCACCAAGGCAUCGAUCAGUAGCUGGUCUGAGAGGAUGAUCAGCCACACUGGGACUGAGACACGGCCCAGACUCCUACGGGAGGCAGCAGUGGGGAAUUUUCCGCAAUGGGCGAAAGCCUGACGGAGCAACGCCGCGUGAGGGAUGAAGGCCUCUGGGCUGUAAACCUCUUUUAUCAAGGAAGAAGAUCUGACGGUACUUGAUGAAUAAGCC
Molecule: ribosomal RNA, 413 nt
Filed under: uncultured bacterium
Lineage: Bacteria
Description: bacterial SSU rRNA
Rfam family: Bacterial small subunit ribosomal RNA
Source: RNAcentral